This is an RNA transcript of Rhagoletis pomonella (apple maggot), 715 nucleotides long. It is a transcript of the gene named protein dpy-30 homolog, with no coding region annotated. Lineage: Eukaryota; Metazoa; Arthropoda; Insecta; Diptera; Tephritidae. The record is from RefSeq and is a predicted model, not a curated record. The transcript has 2 exons.
UGUAACACAUUUGUGUACGCUGCGAAUAUUGUGCUUUGAUUUUUGAAAAAACUAAGUUAAGUAUAGUCGCUGACUGACAGUCAACCACAAAAUUUUUGCGGUUGGAUGUUGACUGACGAAAACGUGUGCUCACAUGGUCAUACAGGGGAAUGAAAUUUGAGCAAAAAAAAACUGUCGAUUUUGAUCGCCAAUGUGUACCACGAAUUACAAUCAUUGUGAAUUCUCCGAGUUAAAAGAAAGGAAAUUCUGGGUUGAAGUACUCGGGCUCUUUUUUAGAUUGGCAUUGAUUUUUAAAUCAAAUCUCGAAAAUAAAAACUGAAGCAUAUGAACUGAAGCGUCCGAAAUAUAAAAUUUCGUUAGCUAUUGUUUGUGUUUUAUUAUUCUUAGAUAUUUGGACGAAGAAGAAGUAAUGGAUAGAAAUGAUAGAUCAGCCACGCCGCAACUGGCACCCGAUCAGCAAGCUCCUACCGACACAGCCGCUAAUGGAACAAAUCAACAGUUGUCUACGGCAACUCAAUGUAAGAAGCCACGUCCAGAUCUGAGCUCACUGCCCACCCGACAAUAUUUAGACCAAACAGUAGCACCGAUAUUACUACACGGAUUGCAGACGUUAGCUCGUGAACGGCCACCAGACCCCAUAAGUUUCUUGGCAGCAUACCUUCUGAAGAACAAAAAUCGUUAUGAAGAUUCAAUACCAGAAAAUAUUUAGAUUAUA